GUGCCAGCCGCCGCGGUAACACGUAGGAGGCAAACGUUAUCCGGAUUCACUGGGCGUAAAGCGCGUGUAGGUGGUUUCGUAAGUAGGGCGUGAAAGCUCCCGGCUCAACUGGGAGAGGCCGUACUAAACUGCGGAGCUAGAGGAUGGUAGAGGGAGGUGGAAUUCCAGGUGUAGUGGUGAAAUGCGCAGAUAUCUGGAGGAACACCAGUGGCGAAGGCGGCCUCCUGGACCAUACCUGACACUCAGACGCGAAAGCUAGGGUAGCAAACGGAAUUAGAGACUCCGGUAGUCCUAGCCCUAAACGAUGCAGACUAGGCGUCGGCGGUUUAAUCACCGUCGGUGUCCAAGCUAACGCGAUAAGUCUGCCGCCUGAGGACUACGGCCGCAAGGCUAAAACUCAAAUAAAUUGACGG
This 413-nucleotide ribosomal RNA is filed under the name uncultured bacterium. Its description in RNAcentral is "bacterial SSU rRNA". It matches the Rfam family "Bacterial small subunit ribosomal RNA", at positions 505 to 916 of the family's 1533-position model. The record is from RNAcentral.